AUACGUAGGGGGCGAGCGUUGUCCGGAAUGACUGGGCGUAAAGGGCGUGUAGGCGGCCGAUUAAGUCUGGAGUGAAAGUCCUGCUUUCAAGGUGGGAAUUGCUUUGGAGACUGGUUGGCUUGAGUGCGGAAGAGGUAAGUGGAAUUCCCAGUGUAGCGGUGAAAUGCGUAGAGAUUGGGAGGAACACCAGUGGCGAAGGCGACUUACUGGGCCGUAACUGACGCUGAGGCGCGAAAGCGUGGGGAGCGAACAGGAUUAGAUACCCUGGUAGUCCACGCGGUAAACGAUGAAUGCUAGGUGUAGGGGGUAUCGACCCCUCCUGUGCCGGAGUGAACACAAUAAGCAUUCCGCCUGGGGAGUACGGCCGCAAGGUUGAAACUCAAAUGAAUUGACGGGG
This 397-nucleotide ribosomal RNA is filed under the name uncultured bacterium. RNAcentral describes it as "partial 16S ribosomal RNA". It matches the Rfam family "Bacterial small subunit ribosomal RNA", at positions 523 to 918 of the family's 1533-position model. The record is from RNAcentral.